UACGAAGGGGGCUAGCGUUGCUCGGAAUCACUGGGCGUAAAGGGCGCGUAGGCGGACUUUUUAAGUCAGGGGUGAAAUCCUAAGGCUCAACCUCAGAACUGCCUUUGAUACUGAGGUCUCGAGACCGGUAGAGGUAAGUGGAAACUGCGAGUGUAGAGGUGAAAUUCGUAGAUAUUCGCAAGAACACCAGUGGCGAAGGCGGCU
RNAcentral lists this ribosomal RNA (204 nucleotides) under uncultured bacterium. RNAcentral's name for it is "partial 16S ribosomal RNA". It matches the Rfam family "Bacterial small subunit ribosomal RNA", at positions 524 to 726 of the family's 1533-position model. The record is from RNAcentral.